UACGUAGGGGGCAAGCGUUGUCCGGAUUUAUUGGGCGUAAAGAGCGUGUAGGCGGCCUUACAGGUCAGCUGUGAAAACUCGAGGCUCAACCUCGAGAGGUCGGUUGAAACCGUAAGGCUAGAGUCCGGAAGAGGAGAGUGGAAUUCCCGGUGUAGCGGUGAAAUGCGUAGAUAUCGAGAGGAACACCUGCGGCGAAGGCGGGUUGCUGGGCUGACACUGACGCUGAAGCGCGAAAGCUAGGGGAGCGAACGGG
RNAcentral lists this ribosomal RNA (253 nucleotides) under uncultured bacterium. RNAcentral describes it as "partial 16S ribosomal RNA". It matches the Rfam family "Bacterial small subunit ribosomal RNA", at positions 524 to 776 of the family's 1533-position model. The record is from RNAcentral.